AUUGAACGCUGGCGGCAUGCCUUACACAUGCAAGUCGAACGGCGGCACGGGUGCUUGCACCUGGUGGCGAGUGGCGAACGGGUGAGUAAUACAUCGGAACGUACCUUAUCGUGGGGGAUAACGCAGCGAAAGCUGUGCUAAUACCGCAUACGCCCUGAGGGGGAAAGCGGGGGAUCGCAAGACCUCGCGCGAUUAGAGCGGCCGAUGCCUGAUCAGCUUGUUGGUGGGGUAAAAGCCCACCAAGGCGACGAUCAGUAGCUGGUCUGAGAGGACGAUCAGCCCCACUGGGACUGAGACACGGCCCAGACUCCUACGGGAGGCAGCAGUGGGGAAUUUUGGACAAUGGGGGCAACCCUGAUCCAGCAAUGCCGCGUGAGUGAAGAAGGCCUUCGGGUUGUAAAGCUCUUUUGUCAGGGAAGAAACACCGGCUCUAACACAGUCCGGGAAUGACGGUACCUGAAGAAUAAGCACCGGCUAACUACGUGCCAGCCGCCGCCGUAA
RNAcentral lists this ribosomal RNA (501 nucleotides) under uncultured bacterium. RNAcentral's name for it is "partial 16S ribosomal RNA". It matches the Rfam family "Bacterial small subunit ribosomal RNA", at positions 29 to 523 of the family's 1533-position model. The record is from RNAcentral.